CAAGUUUGAGAUUUUUUCUUUUAUUUAUUUAUUUAAUUAUUUAAUUAAUUAUUAUUUUUUUAUUAUUUCAUUUUUUCUUUUUCUUUUUUUUCGUUUUUUUUUUUUCGUUUUUUUUUUAAAUAAAGUUUCUUGGAUCUGAUUCUGAUUGACAUGAUGAAAUGCAAUAUGAAAUGUUAAAUGACCUAAAAAUGAAUGCAUGAAUGAGGAGGGCAAAUUU
This 217-nucleotide long non-coding RNA is filed under the name Lathyrus oleraceus (garden pea). RNAcentral's name for it is "Pisum sativum (pea) long non-coding RNA (PSAT_LNC012102)". The record is from RNAcentral. Lineage: Eukaryota; Viridiplantae; Streptophyta; Magnoliopsida; Fabales; Fabaceae.